GUGAAUCAUCGAAUCUUUGAACGCAAAUUGCACUCUCUUCGGAGAGUAUGCCUGUUUGAGGGUCAGUAUUAAUAAAAAUCGGUGUGUUGCUUCUUUGUGACGCUCCGGAGUUUGGGUCAUCUUAAUAUCCUUUAGGUUUUAAGAGGCUUAAAAUUGACUUUUUUUGCGCAUUUUAGUCGUACAUAAUUUUUUUUUUAUUCUUUUUUUUUUAUUCCCAAAACUUUAUUAAAGGCUAC
This 236-nucleotide unclassified non-coding RNA is filed under the name Rhizophagus sp. (in: glomeromycetes). Its description in RNAcentral is "partial contains 5.8S ribosomal RNA and internal transcribed spacer 2". The stretch from base 1 to 65 matches the Rfam family "5.8S ribosomal RNA", at positions 84 to 154 of the family's 154-position model. The record is from RNAcentral. Lineage: Eukaryota; Fungi; Glomeromycota; Glomeromycetes; Glomerales; Glomeraceae.